AACGAACGCUGGCGGCAGGCCUAAUACAUGCAAGUCGAGCGCGCCCUUCGGGUGAGCGGCGGACGGGUUAGUAACGCGUGGGAACGUGCCCUUUGGUACGGAAUAGCCUCUGGAAACGGAGAGUAAUACCGUAUGAGCCCUUCGGGGAAAGAUUUAUCGCCAAAGGAUCGGCCCGCGUUAGAUUAGGUAGUUGGUGGGGUAAUGGCCUACCAAGCCUACGAUCUAUAGCUGGUUUUAGAGGAUGAUCAGCAACACUGGGACUGAGACACGGCCCAGACUCCUACGGGAGGCAGCAGUGGGGAAUCUUGGACAAUGGGGGCAACCCUGAUCCAGCCAUGCCGCGUGAGUGAUGAAGGCCUUAGGGUCGUAAAGCUCUUUCGCCUGUGAAGAUAAU
RNAcentral lists this ribosomal RNA (394 nucleotides) under uncultured Alphaproteobacteria bacterium. Its description in RNAcentral is "bacterial SSU rRNA". It matches the Rfam family "Bacterial small subunit ribosomal RNA", at positions 29 to 452 of the family's 1533-position model. The record is from RNAcentral. Lineage: Bacteria; Pseudomonadati; Pseudomonadota; Alphaproteobacteria.